CACUUCUUGCAGUGAGGUAGGAACCUGUCAAAGCUUGGAAGGCCAUCUUAAAGAUGAACACAUUGAGUUUCUGUGAUGGCCUGGUAGCCUUUGGACAUCAGACUUGUCUGUUUUCUGCUCUAGAAUUGGCCUGCUCUGUGACUUCAGAUGUUCUUUCUGCUGGCUUUGAUGAAGAAAGCUGCCAUGCUGAAGAGGCUCAUGUAACAAGGAACUGAGAGUGGCCUCCAGGCAACAGCCAGCAAAGAACUGAAGCUCUCCACCCAACAGCCCUUGAGGAAUGGUAUCCUGCCUUCAGGCGAGACUCUAGCACUUCAUUGCACACAGCCAUGUCAGAGACCAAAGACCCUAAGGUAGAGCUUCCAACAAAGUGCGCUGGAUUUCUGUGGAUUCCUGAUGCACAGAAACUGUGCAAAAAUAAUUAUGCAUUGUUUUAAGCUGAUAAGUUUUGGAGGUAAUUUGUUAAUGCAGCAGUGGGUAACUAAUACGUCAUGUAUUUACCAAUUUUAGUUUAAUCACUUUAUGUACUUUAUUGUGUAGCCGAAAAAUAGUAGGAGCAGCAUCAUACACAUAGCAAGCAGCAAGAAUAUAGCUGAAUUUAAAAGAAAUAAUCCACAAAUUACCAAGAUCAAUCACAAGGAUGCAAGACACGGCAAUCAGAGGUUAUUUAGUGGAGAGGCAAACCGUUUUGGAGAACUCAAACAACUUUGAAUUCAACUGUUUUGCCAUUCAGUUCAAUGUAGCUCAUAAUAGUCUCUACUUCUCUUAUCCUAGCACUUAGUUCAGUGGGAUUCCUUGUUUAAUUAUCUCUCUUCUUCACCAGAACACAGGUUUAAUAAGGACAGGGUCUCUGUCUCUUUCAAUCACCAUUAUAGUGCUCAUACCUGGCAUAGUUCUUGGCACAUAUUAGCCUUCCACUAAGCAUUUGUUGAAUGAAUAGACGUUAGUGUUUCAGUGAAUGUCAAUAAGUCACAAAAUAUUGCUAUACAUUUUAGAAAAAUAAGCACAAGAAAUAGUUAUAAUAAAUAUUUUCUUAGCGCUUACAGGAAGUAAGUCUUAGUAUCUGGCCAGUUCACUCAUUUAGGGCAUCUAAUUCCCUGACAAUGCCAGUUAAAUGGAACAUUACUGUAAUAGGUACCAUUAAUUAUUCAUUGCAAACACAGUGUGCAAGGUCAAAUGAAAUCUGAUGGAAAAUCUCACCAUUGUGGAAAAAUCACUUGCUGAUUAUUAUCACAACUUUUACUGCUGCAGAAUAGAGCUUAUCUCCUUCCAGUGUGUUCUAUGGGGACCAUAGCCACUAAGUUCAUCUCAAGGAAAGUAAGGCAAUUUUAUUUUAUCUGAUUGCACAUUUCUCUGCUGCUAGGAAUUUCUUUAAUCUUGUAAAUUAUAUACAUAAUAUAUAUGCUUUAUAAGAUUACAGAAAUUUAAUCUUUAUGUUAUAUAUUACAUAUAUUUUUUACAAGAUUAAGGAAAUUUUAUGAGUAAGGAAAUCUAAUAUAUAAUUUACAUAUUAUAUAUAUGUUAGGAUUAAAGAAAUUUAAUAAAUUUCCUUUAUAUAUAUAAUUUAUAAGAUUAAGGAAGUUUAUAAGAUUAAGGACUUA
Molecule: long non-coding RNA, 1598 nt
Filed under: Homo sapiens (human)
Lineage: Eukaryota; Metazoa; Chordata; Mammalia; Primates; Hominidae
Description: HSALNT0055718
Source: RNAcentral